GCCAGUGUGGUAUAGUGGUUUGAGCAUUGGACUAUUACUCUGGAGAUCAGGGUUCAAUUUUCUGCUCAUUCA
Molecule: transfer RNA, 72 nt
Filed under: Phrynosoma platyrhinos (Desert horned lizard)
Lineage: Eukaryota; Metazoa; Chordata; Lepidosauria; Squamata; Phrynosomatidae
Description: tRNA-OTHER
Source: RNAcentral